UUAGUUGGUAGAGGUAAUGGCUCAACCAAGACGAUGAUCAGUAGGGGAUCUAAGAGGAUAAACCUCCACACUGGAACUGAGACAAGGACCAGACUUCUACGGAAGGCAGCAGUGAGGAAUAUUGGUCAAUGGAGGAAACUCUGAACCAGCUAUGCCGCGUGUACGGAAGACAGUCUUUUAGAUUGUAAACUACUUUUGCAUAGAAAUAAAAGUUACUACGUGAUAGUAGCCUGAAGGUACUAUGCGAAUAAGUGUCGGCUAAUUUCGUGCCAGCAGCCGCGGUAAUACGAAAGACACAAGCGUUAUCCGGAUUUAUUGGGUUUAAAGGGUGUGUAGGCUGUUUAUUAAGUCAGUAGUGAAAGCUUACAGCUUAACUGUAAAAUUGCUAUUGAUACUGAUAGUCUUGAGUAAGAUUGGAGUGUUUGGAAUGUAUGGUGUAGCGGUGAAAUGCAUAGAUAUCAUACAGAACACCAAUAGCGAAGGCAGGAUGCUAAAUCUUCACUGACGCUGAGGCACUAAAGCGUGGGGAGCAAACAGGAUUAGAUACCCUGGUAGUCCACUGCCCUAAACUAUGAUCACUAGCUAUUGGAAAAAAACUAUAUUCAGUGGCCAAGCCAAAGCGAUAAGUGAUCCACCUGGGAAGUACGAUCGCAAGAUUGAAACUCAAAGGAAUUGACGGGGUUCCGCACAAGCGGUGGAGCAUGUGGUUUAAUUCGAUGAUACGCGAGGAACCUUACCAAGGCUUAAAUGUAUUCCGAAUAAGCUGGAAACAACUUAGUCUAUAAGACGUAAUACAAGGUGCUGCAUGGUUGUCUUCAGUUCGUGCUGUGAAGUGUUUGGUUAAGUCCUAUAACGAGCGCAACCCCUAUUGUUAGUUGCCAACGGGUAAAGCUGGGGACUCUAACAAAACUGCCGGUGUAAAUUGUGAGGAAGGUGGGGAUAAUGUCAA
Molecule: ribosomal RNA, 949 nt
Filed under: Candidatus Uzinura diaspidicola
Lineage: Bacteria; Pseudomonadati; Bacteroidota; Flavobacteriia; Flavobacteriales
Description: bacterial SSU rRNA
Rfam family: Bacterial small subunit ribosomal RNA
Source: RNAcentral